GCCCCAUUGAUUGGCAGCCAUUAUCAGUCCAAGAAAAUAAACAAAGCGAAAAUGGAUUGACAGGCAUAGAUCAAUUCCUCGAACUUAAUUGGCUGUAAAAAUGGAUGUUGAGGCAGAUACUCAUAAAGAAUGUAGUGAGGGAAGUUUGGAGGUGGCUGAAAGUAAAGAUGAAAAAGUUUCUGACAAUGCAGAAAAUCAGAUAAGUGAUGUUGGUGUGAAACGACCACAUGAUGAUGCUGAUGAAGCAGAACAAGAGGAAGAUGGUCCACCGGAGAAAAGGUGGGGUAUAUGUUUCAAAUGAGUUUAAAGUUAGAGCAAGCCUGAAUCAAGCCAGGUUAUAUUAAAAUUCUAAAU
Molecule: long non-coding RNA, 354 nt
Organism: Mya arenaria
Lineage: Eukaryota; Metazoa; Mollusca; Bivalvia; Myida; Myidae
Exons: 3
Source: RefSeq, a predicted model, not a curated record